RNAcentral lists this ribosomal RNA (232 nucleotides) under uncultured bacterium. RNAcentral describes it as "partial 16S ribosomal RNA". It matches the Rfam family "Bacterial small subunit ribosomal RNA", at positions 99 to 334 of the family's 1533-position model. The record is from RNAcentral.
CGGACGGGUGAGUAAUGUCUGGGAAACUGCCCGAUGGAGGGGGAUAACUACUGGAAACGGUAGCUAAUACCGCAUAAUGUCUACGGACCAAAGCGGGGGACCUUCGGGCCUCUUGCCAUCGGAUGUGCCCAGAUGGGAUUAGCUAGUAGGUGGGGUAACGGCUCACCUAGGCGACGAUCCCUAGCUGGUCUGAGAGGAUGACCAGCCACACUGGGACUGAGACACGGCCCAG